CGUACACUCCUGCGGGAGGCAGCAGUGGGGAAUAUUGCACAAUGGGCGCAAGCCUGAUGCAGCCAUGCCGCGUGUAUGAAGAAGGCCUUCGGGUUGUAAAGUACUUUCAGCGGGGAGGAAGGCGAUAAGGUUAAUAACCUUGUCGAUUGACGUUACCCGCAGAAGAAGCACCGGCUAACUCCGUGCCAGCAGCCGCGGUAAUACGGAGGGUGCAAGCGUUAAUCGGAAUUACUGGGCGUAAAGCGCACGCAGGCGGUCUGUCAAGUCGGAUGUGAAAUCCCCGGGCUCAACCUGGGAACUGCAUUCGAAACUGGCAGGCUAGAGUCUUGUAGAGGGGGGUAGAAUUCCAGGUUUAGCGGUGAAAUGCGUAGAGAUCUGGAGGAAUACCGGUGGCGAAGGCGGCCCCCUGGACAAAGACUGACGCUCAGGUGCGAAAGCGUGGGGAGCAAACAGGAUUAGAAACCCCGGUAGUCCCAUGAU
Molecule: ribosomal RNA, 480 nt
Filed under: uncultured organism
Description: partial 16S ribosomal RNA
Rfam family: Bacterial small subunit ribosomal RNA
Source: RNAcentral